Molecule: microRNA precursor, 84 nt
Organism: Carassius auratus (goldfish)
Lineage: Eukaryota; Metazoa; Chordata; Actinopteri; Cypriniformes; Cyprinidae
Source: Ensembl
GGUUCAACCUCCUGUGCCUACUGAGCUGAUAACAGUUGAUGUAUUUAGCACUGGCUCAGUUCAGCAGGAACCGGAGUUAAGCCC